Molecule: non-coding RNA, 675 nt
Organism: Labrus bergylta (ballan wrasse)
Lineage: Eukaryota; Metazoa; Chordata; Actinopteri; Labriformes; Labridae
Source: RefSeq, a predicted model, not a curated record
AGAAGGGCGUGUUGUCUCUAUUUAAACCUCUGGAUUUACACAGAUUACACAGACGCACUUUACAGAAGCCUACCUGUAAAACAUCGUCACAGCGCAUCCGCUCUCCAGAAAUCUUUGAAAAUGUCAGACAAAAACCCUCAAAAUGAACUCAGGAGUGGGAUUGAGGGCUAUGAUCCGAAACAGAUGAAGAAGGUUGUCACGAAAGAAAAAAAUCCACUCCCUACACAGUGCCAGAUUGACGAGGAGAAGAAGGCCCAAAUGUGCCCUGAAAAGAGCAAAAAAUAAUUUCUCUCAUUGACUUCUGGGCUGCUCUUCCUCCUUUCAAGAAUGUUGACCAUCAUCUCCACUUCCUCCUCUGUGUUCUGUGCAGCCAUGUUUGAUUUGAAACAGUGUAUGGUGUUUGGGAAAAAUCUGUCUAUAAUCAAUUAAACUCUUGCAAUGGGUGAUUUGUUUUCCUUUGCUAUGCAGUUUAAGGGGGGCUGAGCAGUGUAAAACAAUGAUUUGGAAGGGUCAUGGUUCAUAAAUAGAAGAAAAUUAUUUUAUAAAUGGAAAUUAAAACCACUGAAUUGUUAAUAAAACCAUAACUAUGUCUGUAAUUUGUGCCAUACAGGACAUGUUCUGAAAAUGAAUCCAUAAAAUGAUAUUUUACUUUUAAUAAAAUGUAUGAAAAAUGUU